GCCGACAUGGUGGAAUUGGCAGACACGCUACCUUGAGGGGGUAGUGGGCUACGCCCGUGGGGGUUCGACUCCCCCUGUCGGCA
RNAcentral lists this transfer RNA (83 nucleotides) under Deltaproteobacteria bacterium. Its description in RNAcentral is "tRNA-Leu". It matches the Rfam family "tRNA". From Rfam's summary of the family: Transfer RNA (tRNA) molecules are approximately 80 nucleotides in length. Their secondary structure includes four short double-helical elements and three loops (D, anti-codon, and T loops). The record is from RNAcentral. Lineage: Bacteria; Pseudomonadati; Myxococcota; Myxococcia.